This 497-nucleotide ribosomal RNA is filed under the name uncultured bacterium. RNAcentral's name for it is "partial 16S ribosomal RNA". It matches the Rfam family "Bacterial small subunit ribosomal RNA", at positions 28 to 507 of the family's 1533-position model. The record is from RNAcentral.
GAUGAACGCUGGCGGCGUGCCUAAUACAUGCAAGUCGAGCGAACAGACGAGGAGCUUGCUCCUCUGACGUUAGCGGCGGACGGGUGAGUAACACGUGGAUAACCUACCUAUAAGACUGGGAUAACUUCGGGAAACCGGAGCUAAUACCGGACAAUAUAUUGAACCGCAUGGUUCAAUAGUGAAAGACGGUUUUGCUGUCACUUAUAGAUGGAUCCGCGCCGCAUUAGCUAGUUGGUAAGGUAACGGCUUACCAAGGCAACGAUGCGUAGCCGACCUGAGAGGGUGAUCGGCCACACUGGAACUGAGACACGGUCCAGACUCCUACGGGAGGCAGCAGUAGGGAAUCUUCCGCAAUGGGCGAAAGCCUGACGGAGCAACGUCGCGUGAGUGAUGAAGGUCUUCGGAUCGUAAAACUCUGUUAUUAGGGAAGAACAAAUGUGUAAGUAACUAUGCACGUCUUGACGGUACCUAAUCAGAAAGCCACGGCUAACUACGUG